This 252-nucleotide ribosomal RNA is filed under the name uncultured Bacteroidales bacterium. RNAcentral describes it as "partial 16S ribosomal RNA". It matches the Rfam family "Bacterial small subunit ribosomal RNA", at positions 524 to 776 of the family's 1533-position model. The record is from RNAcentral. Lineage: Bacteria; Pseudomonadati; Bacteroidota; Bacteroidia; Bacteroidales.
UACGGAGGAUGCGAGCGUUAUCCGGAUUUAUUGGGUUUAAAGGGUGCGUAGGCGGGUUAUCAAGUCAGCGGUAAAAUCGUGGAGCUCAACUCCAUCCAGCCGUUGAAACUGGCUGUCUUGAGAUGUCGAGAGGUAUGCGGAAUGCGCAGUGUAGCGGUGAAAUGCUUAGAUAUUGCGCAGAACUCCGAUUGCGAAGGCAGCAUACCGGCGGCGAUCUGACGCUGAGGCACGAAAGCGUGGGUAUCGAACAGG